GAUGAACGCUGACAGAAUGCUUAACACAUGCAAGUCAACUUGAACUUCGGUUUGGGUGGCGGACGGGUGAGUAACGCGUAAAGAACUUGCCUCACAGAUAGGGACAACAUUUGGAAACGAAUGCUAAUACCUGAUAUUAUGAUUUUAGGGCAUCCUAGGAUUAUGAAAGCUAUAUGCGCUGUGAGAGAGCUUUGCGUCCCAUUAGCUAGUUGGAGAGGUAACGGCUCACCAAGGCGAUGAUGGGUAGCCGGCCUGAGAGGGUGAUCGGCCACAAGGGGACUGAGACACGGCCCUUACUCCUACGGGAGGCAGCAGUGGGGAAUAUUGGACAAUGGACCAAGAGUCUGAUCCAGCAAUUCUGUGUGCACGAUGAAGUUUUUCGGAAUGUAAAGUGCUUUCAGUUGGGAAGAAAAAAAUGACGGUACCAACAGAAGAAGUGACGGCUAAAUACGU
RNAcentral lists this ribosomal RNA (453 nucleotides) under uncultured bacterium. Its description in RNAcentral is "partial 16S ribosomal RNA". It matches the Rfam family "Bacterial small subunit ribosomal RNA", at positions 28 to 506 of the family's 1533-position model. The record is from RNAcentral.